GGGUUGUGAGGUUAAGCGAAUAAGCGUACACGGUGGAUGCCUAGGCAGUCAGAGGCGAUGAAGGACGUGCUAAUCUGCGAUAAGCGCCGGUAAGGUGAUAUGAACCGUUAUAACCGGCGAUUUCCGAAUGGGGAAACCCAGUGUGAUCCGUCACACUAUCAUUAYCUGAAUACAUAGGGUAAUGAAGCGAACCGGGAGAACUGAAACAUCUAAGUACCCCGAGGAAAAGAAAUCAAACGAGAUUCCCCCAGUAGCGGCGAGCGAACGGGGAGCAGCCCAGRACCUUAAUCARYRUCAGUGUUAAGAGAACAGUCUGGAAAGGCUGGCCGCAGCAGGUGAUAGCCCUGUAUCUGAAAGCACUGGURUUGUGAGUYCGAUGAGUAAGGCGGGACACGUGUUAUCCUGUCUGAAUAUGGGGGGACCAUCCUCCAAGGCUAAAUACUCCUGACUGACCGAUAGUGAACCAGUACCGUGAGGGAAAGGCGAAAAGAACCCCG
RNAcentral lists this ribosomal RNA (497 nucleotides) under Morganella morganii. Its description in RNAcentral is "partial 23S ribosomal RNA". It matches the Rfam family "Bacterial large subunit ribosomal RNA", at positions 1 to 528 of the family's 2925-position model. The record is from RNAcentral. Lineage: Bacteria; Pseudomonadati; Pseudomonadota; Gammaproteobacteria; Enterobacterales; Morganellaceae.